UUUAUUAAUCAGUUUUCUUCUACUCAUGACAUAUUUAAGUAAAACAUAAGCGCUUCAUGUGUUUUUCAUGAUGAUAUAUUUAGGUAUGUAUAUAUUUAUUAAUGUGUGUAAGUGUGUGAGAGAGGGUAAGGGUGUGUUAGAAAAGGAAAAGAAUACAAUUGAUUCUUUUUUUAUUCUUAAAGGGAUGGGCCAAAAUAAGUGCUCUUGUUUUAGAAGAAUUCGGCUUGUUUAAACCCAAAACAAUCAUUGGUAUCUUCAGUCCUCCAGGGUUUUACCUUAGUUUAAAAAACUGCACUAAUGGAAAACUAAAAGCAACGCUGGAAGAUGGGCCAGGACAGAGAUUGAAUGAGGGAGUUGCAUAUUUUAGGGAUGUAUUGCUUGUAGAAGCAAGAAUCCUUAUUGCCUCCACUGUAAAAAACAUUACUUAUAGAGAAGCUGAAAAACUUCUCUAUCCAUUGAAAUAACAAUUAAAAAUAGCAUUGCUAAAGAGUAAAGAUAAAUAUAUAUAUAUAU
Long non-coding RNA from Saccostrea cuccullata (small rock oyster), 513 nucleotides. RefSeq lists it as uncharacterized. The transcript has 3 exons. The record is from RefSeq and is a predicted model, not a curated record. Lineage: Eukaryota; Metazoa; Mollusca; Bivalvia; Ostreida; Ostreidae.